AGUGAACGCUGGCGGUAGGCCUAACACAUGCAAGUCGAACGGCAGCCCCGUAAGAGCGUGCUCUUACGGGUGGCGAGUGGCGGACGGGUGAGGAAUACAUCGGAAUCUACUUUUUCGCGGGGGGUAACGUAGGGAAACUUACGCUAAUACCGCAUACGACCUACGGGUGAAAGCAGGGGAUCUUCGGGCCUUGCGCUAUUUAGUGAGCCGAUGUCUGAUUAGCUAGGUGGCGGGGUAAAGGCUCACCAAGGCGACGAUCCGUAGCUGGUCUGAGAGGAUGAACCACCACACUAGGACUGAGGCACCGUCCAGACUGCGACGGGGGGCCGGAGUGGGGAAUAAUGGGCGAUAGGAGCAAGGCUUAUUCAGCCAUGCCGGGUAGGGUGAGAAAGCCUUGCGGUUGGGAAGCCCUUUUGUUGGGAAAGAAAAACAUCAGGUUAAUACCCCGCUGUUCUGACGGUACCCAAAGAAUAAGCACCGGCUAACUUCGUG
RNAcentral lists this ribosomal RNA (492 nucleotides) under uncultured bacterium. RNAcentral's name for it is "partial 16S ribosomal RNA". It matches the Rfam family "Bacterial small subunit ribosomal RNA", at positions 29 to 507 of the family's 1533-position model. The record is from RNAcentral.